GACGAACGCUGGCGGCGUGCCUAAUACAUGCAAGUCGAACGAGAGCGACCGGUGCUUGCACUGGUCAAUCUAGUGGCGCACGGGUGAGUAACACGUGGGUAACCUGCCCAUCAGAGGGGGAUAACAUCCGGAAACGGAUGCUAAAACCGCAUAGGUCUUCGAACCGCAUGGUUUGAAGAGGAAAAGAGGCGCAAGCUUCUGCUGAUGGAUGGACCCGCGGUGCAUUAGCUAGUUGGUGAGGUAACGGCUCACCAAGGCCGUGAUGCAUAGCCGACCUGAGAGGGUGAUCGGCCACAUUGGGACUGAGACACGGCCCAAACUCCUACGGGAGGCAGCAGUAGGGAAUCUUCCGCAAUGGACGCAAGUCUGACGGAGCAACGCCGCGUGAGUGAAGAAGGUGUUCGGAUCGUAAAACUCUGUUGUUAGAGAAGAACAAGUGCUAGAGUAACUGUUAGCGACUUGACGGUAGCUAAACAGAAAGCCACGGCUAACUACGUG
This 498-nucleotide ribosomal RNA is filed under the name uncultured bacterium. RNAcentral describes it as "partial 16S ribosomal RNA". It matches the Rfam family "Bacterial small subunit ribosomal RNA", at positions 28 to 507 of the family's 1533-position model. The record is from RNAcentral.